AACGAACGCUGGCGGCAUGCCUAACACAUGCAAGUCGAACGAGACCUUCGGGUCUAGUGGCGCACGGGUGCGUAACGCGUGGGAACCUGCCCUUAGGUUCGGAAUAACUCCCCGAAAGGGGUGCUAAUACCGGAUAAUGUCUUCGGACCAAAGAUUUAUCGCCUUUGGAUGGGCCCGCGUUGGAUUAGCUAGUUGUUAGGGUAAAAGCCUACCAAGGCGACGAUCCAUAGCUGGUCUGAGAGGAUGAUCAGCCACACUGGGACUGAGACACGGCCCAGACUCCUACGGGAGGCAGCAGUGGGGAAUAUUGGACAAUGGGCGGAAGCCUGAUCCAGCAAUGACGCGUGAGUGAUGAAGGCCUUAGGGUUGUAAAGCUCUUUUACCCGGGACGAUAAUGACAGUACCGGGAGAAUAAGCUCCGGCUAACUCCGUG
This 433-nucleotide ribosomal RNA is filed under the name uncultured bacterium. Its description in RNAcentral is "partial 16S ribosomal RNA". It matches the Rfam family "Bacterial small subunit ribosomal RNA", at positions 29 to 507 of the family's 1533-position model. The record is from RNAcentral.